GCCAACUUGGAACAACUCCAUCAAAAAUACCAAUAUCUCAUAAUUCUAAAAACUCUGACACUGAUACACCACUAAAAGAUCCUUCUGUUGGAUCGAGAUCCGAGGCUAUAAGGGGGGAUAAUAGCCUCUUUUCGAUUUAUGCAAGUUAAUAGCGGAAUUACCUACACACACUUAUGUACACAAAUAGUUGUAUAAUAAUAAUAGUAUAAUAUUGUUAGCAAUACAAUACUAUUAUAUAAUUUUAAAGAAUAUAAUAUUAUAUCUUAUAAUAUUAUAUGUAUUGGACUUGCCUUUUGCUCUUGAAGUUUACUACAGUAUAUGAAUACGUAGUCAACUUUUCAGAUGGUGUUUUAUAAACAACUAUAAUAUAUGAAUACUAAGUUAUAUUAUAAACACAAGUUAUAUUAUAAAGUAAAUGACCAGAUAACUAGAUAUAUUGAUAAGCAAGUAAAUGACCAGAUAACUGGAUAUAUUGAUAAACAAGUAAAUGACCAGAUAACUGGAUAUAUAUAUGAUAAGUAAAUGCUUGAACAAAUAUAUGAAUAAAGAUUUAAAGCAAUGAAUAUAACCUCAGAUAGUUGACCAGAUAACUGGAUGAGGAAUCUGCGUAAAGUAGUCAACCUCUGUAUUUGACCAGAUAACUGGAAGAGGAAUCCUUUUCAAUUAAGUGUUGUUUAGUUGUUUUUAGAUGAAAGAUAAAAACUAGAGUUAACAAAGAACAACACAAGAGAUUUAUACUGGUUCACCCAAACAAGGGCUAGUCAAGUCCCGACCAACUGUCGGAAUUCACUCGCCUAAAGGUUAUGGCAAAACCUUAGAGUAUCAAGGAAACUCUUAAGAACCUCUCUAAGCUUUAAGGCUACUUCGCUUAGGAACCAGUCUUUUACGGGUAGACUCACACCUUAGAGUAUCAAAGGCACUCUUAAGAACCUCUAACUUUUGCGGGUAAGUUAGUACCUUAGAGUAUCAAUGAACUCUUAAAAACCUCUCUAAGCUUUAAGGCUACUUCGCUUAGGAACCAGUCUUUAACGGGUAGACUCACACCUUAGAGUAUCAAGGGCACUCUUAAGAACCUCUAACUUUUACGGGUAAGUUAGUACCUUAAAGUAUCAAAGAACUCUUAAAAACCUCUGAAAUCUUUCAAGGUAGACUCGACCUAAGAGUUUUCCUGGAAACUCUAUAAAACCAAACUAGAGCUUUAUGGUUGAGCUCAAAAACCUUCUCUCAAACUUUGGUACUAUUGAGACAACCCUCUCAACCAAAGUGGACACACACAAGAGGUGAUUAGAGGAGUGGAAUAUUAAAGCAAACAACACUUCUUACUUGUAAAGAUGAACAAGAAGAUUAGAAGAAGAAGUUGGAGAGCUUUUGAAGCUUUGGAAAGCUAGGACACUUGAGCACUUGAAAGCUUGGAAGCUUGGAGGCAAAAACGUGUGGGCAAGUGUGGAGUGAAAUUAAGCUCUUGAGUUUGCUUGUAGUGUGGUGAGUGAAAAUGAGGGGAUUACCCUUCUAUUUAUAGCCUUGGCCACUCAAUGUCCACCCUUGGAUCUUCAAUGGAUGGCUUCUUGAUUUCUCACAUAAAUCCAAGCUUUGUCUUU
This 1598-nucleotide long non-coding RNA is filed under the name Zostera marina. Its description in RNAcentral is "long non-coding RNA (ZMAR_LNC001394)". The record is from RNAcentral. Lineage: Eukaryota; Viridiplantae; Streptophyta; Magnoliopsida; Alismatales; Zosteraceae.